GACGAACGCUGGCGGCGUGCUUAACACAUGCAAGUCGAACGGAAAGGGCCUGCUUUUGUGGGGUGCUCGAGUGGCGAACGGGGGAGUAACACGCGAGUAACAUGCCCCUGACUUUGGGAUAAAUUCUGGAAAAUGGGGCUAAUAUCCGAUAGGAGCUCCUUCUGCAUGGUGGGGGUUGGUAAGUUUCGGCGGUUGGGGAUGGACUCGCGGCUUAUCAGCUUGUUGGUGGGGUAGUGGCUUACCAAGGCUUUGACGGGUAGCCGGCCUGAGAGGGUGACCGGCCACAUUGGGACUGAGAUACGGCCCAGACUCCUACGGGAGGCAGCAGUGGGGAAUAUUGCACAAUGGGCGGAAGCCUGAUGCAGCAACGCCGCGUGCGGGAUGACGGCCUUCGGGUUGUAAACCGCUUUCGCCUGUGACGAAGCGUGAGUGACGGUAAUGGGUAAAGAAGCACCGGCUAACUACGUG
RNAcentral lists this ribosomal RNA (468 nucleotides) under uncultured bacterium. Its description in RNAcentral is "partial 16S ribosomal RNA". It matches the Rfam family "Bacterial small subunit ribosomal RNA", at positions 28 to 507 of the family's 1533-position model. The record is from RNAcentral.